RNAcentral lists this ribosomal RNA (2932 nucleotides) under Bacillus velezensis. RNAcentral describes it as "bacterial LSU rRNA". It matches the Rfam family "Bacterial large subunit ribosomal RNA". The record is from RNAcentral. Lineage: Bacteria; Bacillati; Bacillota; Bacilli; Caryophanales; Bacillaceae.
CGGUUAAGUUAGAAAGGGCGCACGGUGGAUGCCUUGGCACUAGGAGCCGAUGAAGGACGGGACGAACACCGAUAUGCUUCGGGGAGCUGUAAGCAAGCUUUGAUCCGGAGAUUUCCGAAUGGGGAAACCCACCACUCGUAAUGGAGUGGUAUCCAUAUCUGAAUACAUAGGAUAUGAGAAGGCAGACCCGGGGAACUGAAACAUCUAAGUACCCGGAGGAAGAGAAAGCAAAUGCGAUUCCCUGAGUAGCGGCGAGCGAAACGGGACCAGCCCAAACCAAGAGGCUUGCCUCUUGGGGUUGUAGGACACUCUGUACGGAGUUACAAAGGAACGAGGUAGAUGAAGAGGUCUGGAAAGGCCCGCCAUAGAAGGUAACAGCCCUGUAGUCAAAACUUCGUUCUCUCCUGAGUGGAUCCUGAGUACGGCGGAACACGUGAAAUUCCGUCGGAAUCCGGGAGGACCAUCUCCCAAGGCUAAAUACUCCCUAGUGACCGAUAGUGAACCAGUACCGUGAGGGAAAGGUGAAAAGCACCCCGGAAGGGGAGUGAAAGAGAUCCUGAAACCGUGUGCCUACAAGUAGUCAGAGCCCGUUAAGGGUGAUGGCGUGCCUUUUGUAGAAUGAACCGGCGAGUUACGAUCCCGUGCAAGGUUAAGCAGAAGAUGCGGAGCCGCAGCGAAAGCGAGUCUGAAUAGGGCGAAUUGAGUACGUGGUCGUAGACCCGAAACCAGGUGAUCUACCCAUGUCCAGGGUGAAGUUCAGGUAACACUGAAUGGAGGCCCGAACCCACGCACGUUGAAAAGUGCGGGGAUGAGGUGUGGGUAGGGGUGAAAUGCCAAUCGAACCUGGAGAUAGCUGGUUCUCUCCGAAAUAGCUUUAGGGCUAGCCUCAAGGUAAGAGUCUCGGAGGUAGAGCACUGAUUGGACUAGGGGCCCCUACCGGGUUACCGAAUUCAGUCAAACUCCGAAUGCCGAUGACUUAUCCUUGGGAGUCAGACUGCGAGUGAUAAGAUCCGUAGUCGAAAGGGAAACAGCCCAGACCGCCAGCUAAGGUCCCAAAGUAUACGUUAAGUGGAAAAGGAUGUGGAGUUGCUUAGACAACCAGGAUGUUGGCUUAGAAGCAGCCACCAUUUAAAGAGUGCGUAAUAGCUCACUGGUCGAGUGACUCUGCGCCGAAAAUGUACCGGGGCUAAACGUAUCACCGAAGCUGCGGACUGUUCUUCGAACAGUGGUAGGAGAGCGUUCUAAGGGCUGUGAAGCAAGACCGGAAGGACUUGUGGAGCGCUUAGAAGUGAGAAUGCCGGUAUGAGUAGCGAAAGAGGGGUGAGAAUCCCCUCCACCGAAUGCCUAAGGUUUCCUGAGGAAGGCUCGUCCGCUCAGGGUUAGUCGGGACCUAAGCCGAGGCCGAAAGGCGUAGGCGAUGGAUAACAGGUUGAUAUUCCUGUACCACCUCCUCACCAUUUGAGCAAUGGGGGACGCAGGAGGAUAGGGUAAGCGCGGUAUUGGAUAUCCGCGUCCAAGCAGUUAGGCUGGGAAAUAGGCAAAUCCGUUUCCCGUGAAGGCUGAGCUGUGAUGGCGAGCGAAUUAUAGUAGCGAAGUUCCUGAUUCCACACUGCCAAGAAAAGCCUCUAGCGAGGUGAGAGGUGCCCGUACCGCAAACCGACACAGGUAGGCGAGGAGAGAAUCCUAAGGUGAUCGAGAGAACUCUCGUUAAGGAACUCGGCAAAAUGACCCCGUAACUUCGGGAGAAGGGGUGCUCUGUUAGGGUGCAAGCCCGAGAGAGCCGCAGUGAAUAGGCCCAGGCGACUGUUUAGCAAAAACACAGGUCUCUGCGAAGCCGUAAGGCGAAGUAUAGGGGCUGACGCCUGCCCGGUGCUGGAAGGUUAAGAGGAGCGCUUAGCGUAAGCGAAGGUGCGAAUUGAAGCCCCAGUAAACGGCGGCCGUAACUAUAACGGUCCUAAGGUAGCGAAAUUCCUUGUCGGGUAAGUUCCGACCCGCACGAAAGGCGCAACGAUCUGGGCACUGUCUCAACGAGAGACUCGGUGAAAUUAUAGUACCUGUGAAGAUGCAGGUUACCCGCGACAGGACGGAAAGACCCCGUGGAGCUUUACUGCAGCCUGAUAUUGAAUGUUGGUACAGCUUGUACAGGAUAGGUAGGAGCCUUGGAAACCGGAGCGCCAGCUUCGGUGGAGGCAUCGGUGGGAUACUACCCUGGCUGUAUUGACCUUCUAACCCGCCGCCCUUAUCGGGCGGGGAGACAGUGUCAGGUGGGCAGUUUGACUGGGGCGGUCGCCUCCUAAAAGGUAACGGAGGCGCCCAAAGGUUCCCUCAGAAUGGUUGGAAAUCAUUCGCAGAGUGUAAAGGCACAAGGGAGCUUGACUGCGAGACCUACAAGUCGAGCAGGGACGAAAGUCGGGCUUAGUGAUCCGGUGGUUCCGCAUGGAAGGGCCAUCGCUCAACGGAUAAAAGCUACCCCGGGGAUAACAGGCUUAUCUCCCCCAAGAGUCCACAUCGACGGGGAGGUUUGGCACCUCGAUGUCGGCUCAUCGCAUCCUGGGGCUGUAGUCGGUCCCAAGGGUUGGGCUGUUCGCCCAUUAAAGCGGUACGCGAGCUGGGUUCAGAACGUCGUGAGACAGUUCGGUCCCUAUCCGUCGCGGGCGCAGGAAAUUUGAGAGGAGCUGUCCUUAGUACGAGAGGACCGGGAUGGACGCACCGCUGGUGUACCAGUUGUUCUGCCAAGGGCAUCGCUGGGUAGCUAUGUGCGGACGGGAUAAGUGCUGAAAGCAUCUAAGCAUGAAGCCCCCCUCAAGAUGAGAUUUCCCAUUCCGCAAGGAAGUAAGAUCCCUGAAAGAUGAUCAGGUUGAUAGGUCUGAGGUGGAAGUGUGGCGACACAUGGAGCUGACAGAUACUAAUCGAUCGAGGACUUAACCAAUUU